AUACGUAGGUGGCGAGCGUUGUCCGGAAUUACUGGGCGUAAAGGGCGCGUAGGCGGUUCUUUAAGUUAGAUGUGAAAACCCGGGGCUUAACUCCGGGAGUGCAUUUAAAACUGAAGGGCUUGAGUGCAGGAGAGGUAAGUGGAAUUCCUAGUGUAGCGGUGAAAUGCGUAGAUAUUAGGAGGAACACCAGUGGCGAAGGCGACUUACUGGACUGUAACUGACGCUGAGGCGCGAAAGCGUGGGGAGCAAACAGGAUUAGAUACCCUGGUAGUCCACGCUGUAAACGAUGGAUACUAGGUGUGGGAGGUAUCGACCCCUUCCGUGCCGCAGUUAACGCAAUAAGUAUCCCGCCUGGGGAGUACGGCCGCAAGGUUGAA
RNAcentral lists this ribosomal RNA (377 nucleotides) under uncultured bacterium. RNAcentral describes it as "bacterial SSU rRNA". It matches the Rfam family "Bacterial small subunit ribosomal RNA", at positions 523 to 898 of the family's 1533-position model. The record is from RNAcentral.